Molecule: long non-coding RNA, 11340 nt
Organism: Mus musculus (house mouse)
Lineage: Eukaryota; Metazoa; Chordata; Mammalia; Rodentia; Muridae
Product: predicted gene, 26740
Exons: 8
Source: RefSeq, a predicted model, not a curated record
ACAUCUUAAAGCAUUACCAAAACUCUUUGCUUCUACUUUGAGCCUUAAAGUAAGAUCUCAGUGUAUUACAGACAAGGAAGGGCCUGGAAAUCAGCUAGCCUGGCUCUUCUGCAGAGUUGCCUCUUUAGCCUUGCUUUAAGCAUCUCUGUGGGACAAAGCCAUCAUGGAAAUGUCAUUUGCUGCGUUUAUCUGCUUACCUCUGACUGCAGCACUCUCUUCAGAGGAUGAGGGAGGAUCCUCAUACUCAGGAAAUAAGUAACUUCCUGGGUCUAAGAAAGGGGAACUUAGAAGUUUCAAAUGACCCUCCAACACUAUGUAGACUGAGGAGCCUCUGACCAACUCAGCUUCUGAAAAAAAUCCAAACCUGUCCCUGCAGUUUCGGCUGUGCUGUUUCCGGAGUCAAGUAUUGAGGUUGAAGGAGGCUGAUUAGGCCUGGUCUGUGGCAGAAUGGUGCCCAAGCAGGGACCUCUGGACAGGACAGAUGGCAAAUUUGGACACAUUUACAGGAUGACAUGUCAUGCAAUAUUAAAAUGAAAAGUGACUUUGUGUGCUGGUAUAAGAAGAUCUUGAAGAUAGAGAUGACAGACCACCUGGACAAUGCUUCCUGAUCGUUUUUGUUAAAGGUAAUCAUUUUACACAGACUUCUAAAUCUUAUUAAAGAAAUACUUUUCAUGUAUAAUAAAAACUCCCACAGUAGUGUUAAAUAAUCAUAAAAGUCUCUAAUAUUAGUUUGUGUUACAAACGACUGGGCUUAGUCAGUCAAUAGCAGUAAUGAGACAGAAGGGAACUUAAGACAGAAUGAAAUUCUGACCAUGGGAAUUGACCUAUUGUCACUCAGUACGGUUCCAUGGAGAGACUGAUAUGCAGAGAGGUGCAUGGGUAUAAUUUCUGAUUUAGAAUCACUUUAGCAAAAGUUAAUCUUUUUAUAGUUGCAGAGUUUACUCUCAAUUAAGAUGUACAACUGCUAUUUUUAUAUCCUAUCUCCCUGCCUUUCUAGACAAUGAACAGCAGAAAGAGAUUUCAGGGAGAAACUUGUCAAGGGCUCAGUGUCCUCCAUGGCAUGACCCCCCAGCCCCAGUGAUGUUUCCUCAGGGCCCAGGGCCCACUCUCUUGGUGAGCUGCUGUCUACACAGCAGCUUGUGACAUAGCCUGAGUCUGCUCCUCUCCUCUUCUCUAGUUAACUGUUUUCCAUUGAGUCUAGCAGUAUUUCCUCAGGCCCAGAUCUAUUCAUCCUCUGCUAACUUAUCCCUCAUGGUACAGUCUUCAUCGCCACUGUGUCCUAAAACUCUGACUGUAACAGAAUACCUAAUUUAGGUAUAACCAAGUGUGUUUGUUCUGUUUCUCCCUGAAUGAGAGAUCCAAGGAACAGGUGAAAAUUCAACAACUUUAAGAUCUAUCCUGGGCUCUGGCAGCUUUCCAUAGGACCAGAAUUCUAUUCUCAGAACCUACAUGGUGACCUACCAUUUUCAACACUGGGUUCAGGAGCUCUGAUGCCUUCUUUUCGCCUCUUCUGAAGCCAGACAUAUACAUGAUUCACACACACACAGACAAACACAUAGUAAUAUAUACAUAUAUGUGUGUAUAUAUAUAUAUAUAUAUAUAUAUAUAUACACCCACACAUAUAAAAUUAAAAGAAAUUCUAGCCUUGGAUGUGGGGCUAAAUAUAUGAUAACCUGAAUUUGUUGAUUUGGGGAGGAAUAGGUAUGGAAGACUUUGGAAAUUUGGGCUAGAAACAUUACUUAAGAACACUACUUAGAGAGGAGAGACUUGUUGGAGAUACAGAUUUAGGGCUGAGUGUUCCAAGGUCUCGAACUCUCUGCAUAAGGUUGGACUGUGGGCCUGUAAAUUCAAACAAGACAUUUCUAAAUACGGUCUUUGUUCAUUGAGCUUCUCAUGCCUGUAUUCAUGUAUGUUGACCAUGUGCACGGUCCCUACUUUCCCCUCACUCCUUCCAGACCAACUCUUACCACUCCAACUUUCUGUUUCUGUAAAAAAUGAUAUUUCUUCUUCUUCUUCUGCUUCUUCUGCUGCUGCUUCUUCUUCUGCUUCUUCUGCUGCUUCUUCUUCUUCUUCUUCUUCUUCUUCUUCUUCUUCUUCUUCUUCUUCUUCUUCUUCUUCUUCUUCUUCUUCGUUUUUAAUGAUCCGUGGCAUUACUAGCUUUCCCUCAUGUUCACCUCUCAAUCUCUGCCCACUAUGGAAUGAUAGUCUCCUCCUAGCUGCCUUUGGAUCAAGAAAAGGAACUCUUGGCUCAUCCAGCACCAUGCAUGCCUGGAUGCUGCCAUGCUUCCUGCCAUGAUGAUGAUGGACUGCACCUCUGAAAUUAUAAGCCAGCCCCAAUUAAACAUUUUGUUUUUUCUUAAAAAAUGAUAUUUUAUGAACUGUAGAGAUGGUGUAGUGGUUAAGAUCACUGGGUGUUCUUCCAGAGGACCUGGGUUUAAUUCUCAGCACUGACAUUGUGGCUCACAUAUGUCUUCAACUCCAGUUCUAGGGGCUCAGAUGUCUCUCUGGCUUUUGCCAGCUUUGCAUGACAUGGUGAGCAUAUAUGUGUGCACCAUAAACUGAUAAUAAAAAUAAACAUUGAAGUUGACAACAUAUAAAAUAAUAAUAAAUCUUUAAGCUAAUGAAGGAAAGCUUACUACUGUAAAACCUGGAUAGGACGUUCCUUCUUCAUGAUGGCUCCUAAGUCUCGGGGGCAGGGCAUAUGACAUAGAUACCCCAUUUGUAUUCUGCAGACACACAUUCUCUGCACCCCAACCACACAUUUCUUCCUUUCUUUAUGUUUCAUCUUUUCAAGACAAGGUUUCUAUGUAUACACCUGCCUGUGCUGGAACUCUCUGUGUAGAUCAGAGAGGUUCCCACUAAUUCAGAGAUCUGUCUAUCUUUGAAUCCAGAAUGCUGGAAUUAAAGGCAUAAUCCAUCAAGCCCAUCCAACAACACAUCCCUAAUCAACAUAUGCGAAAUAAAACAAAAAGGACGUGAGUAAAUAAAGAUAUGCAACCAAAUGUAAAGAAGAAAGUUAGAAUAGGUCUCAGCAAGAAUUAAAUAUGGAAUAGAAAUGAUAAAGAAAUUCAAUGGAAACAAAUUUUUUUCAAAAGUUUCCUGAACUUCAUAGACAAUUGUAUAGUCUGACUAAAGAACACAAAAUAUACUAGAACUGUGUAAUCACAAAUCAAAGAGAAGCCCCAAAAACCUUGUAAAGUAAUAUAAUUACAAGAGAAUACUCUGAAAAUAUUAUGAAAAUUUCAAGUACACAUUGUAUAAUACAGACAGCACCCAUUCGCAGGAACCUGAACACCUGAAAACCAAUCACCUGAAGAAAGUUAGCAAACGUCUAAAGAGAGAGAGAUCCAUUUAAAGAUACAAGUCAGCAGUUAGACAUCCAGAGCCAGCGGUAAGAGCCUUCUAGUAAGGAAAUUGCAGAAAGGACAUUGCUGUUCUAGGGAAUUCAGCCGAGAAGAAUGCUCAGAUUUUUUUUGGAUUAAUUACUUUAUUUCCUGACUGCAGUUUCCCCUCCGUGCUUCCUCCACUACCUAACUCCUCAAAAAUGUUGUUUAAGCCAAUAGAAACUCUUCAUUAGCUGGCCCUAAUUAUUGUAAAUGUUUGGCAUUCCAGUAUAGAAUGGAGCUUAAACCAGAUUUCAGAAGAGAAAAACAUUAUUAAGUGGCCUAAAACCGUGCUUGUGAUCUUUUGGUGAAGAAAUGUGGUUGCCUUUUGCUCCUGUCCAAAAAUACAAAACAAAACAAACAAAACAAAACAAAACAAAACACCAAAAACAAAACAAAAUAAAACCUGCCUCAGGCUAAAUUGAAGAGUUUGGGAUUAAUGACUUGGGCAGAGAUGAUUUCAAGACCUCUUAAUAUUCCUGGGUCAUGAUGCUGCCAUUGGUUACUCUCAUUCCAAUGUAUAAUGAAAAGGAGCAAGCUGAGCAGGGAAAAGUACAAAAUGUACAGUUUGAGGAGAAAAGGAGCCCCAGGAAGUGUGAGAAGAGAGUCCAGUGCUCAAUGAGAUAAAAAAAAUGUAAGGAGAAGCUAGAUUCUAAAAGGAAUAAAAGGAGUUUGGCCUCAGAGAAAGACAUCAGUCAGCUAAGCUUCUAAUUUGUUAAAAGAAUGUAAAAGAUGGUUAAGCAAUGAAGGAAGCUAUCAGAUACAAAGGCUGAAUGCACUGUAUGUGAAUGAGGAGCCAUGUUCCAGCCUAAGGAAGCAGCAAAACUUGGCUGCUUUGGCCAUGAGGUUCUGGCUUUAGAGUCAAGGGUACAGGAAGGGGGUGUGGAAUCCAUUUGGGGCUAAGUAAAGCCGCUGAGGCCAGGCACGUGUCAGACAUGUGCCUGCGUGGAGGCUCAGAAAGGCCACUGUGUGAAGCUGUGAGGGUGAAGCCAGGAUUUCACUCCAGACUCCAAGAUUACAAAGAAGACAGAGUCAUGGCCUACCUAUCAAGGAGAGCUGCUGACAGGUGGAGAACCGGCACGGAGGACAGAAGUCUGUUGCAGUCAGCAAAGCUGAAAGAUUAGGAGCUCUGAAGAGCACUUUGACAACAGGCAUGGAGAUGUGGGGUUUGAAGUUGGACCUGCUGGUCGUCCAUCUUGCUCUGGCCAAGUAUUUCCUCGAUCUGCUCUAUUUUCUCCCUUUCAGAAUGGAAAUGCAUAUUCUGUGCCAUAUUAGGUUAGAAGUAUGGGAACUGCUUUUUAAUUUUAAUUUUGCAGGGGUUACAGUGAAGAGGUUGCCAUGAGUCUCAAAAGAGACUUUGAACUCUGGCCUUUUAAAUGGGGUGAGACUGUGAUAGACCAUGGAGACAUUUUAAAUUGGCCUGAAUGCAUAUUUGCAUUAUGAUAUGGCCUCAAGCCUAAGGGGGCCACAAGGUACAAGGUGGUGGUUUGAAUAAAAAUACUCACCAUAAACUAAAAUAUUUGAAUGUUUGAUCAUUAAGGUAUGGCCCUACCUGAGAGGGAUUAGGAAUAUGUCCUUUUUGGAGUAGGUCUGGCCUUACUGGAGGAAGUGUGUCACUGGGGAAGAACUUUGAGAUUUCAAAAAGCUAAUCCCAAGCCCAGAGACUCUUGCUUCUUGCUGCCUUUGGAUCUGGAUGUAGAACUGUCAGCUACCAUGUCUGCCUGCAUACUGCCAUGUUCCUCCCCACGAGGAUAAUGAAUUAAACCCAUGGAACCAUAAGCAAGCCUCAAUCAAAUGCUGUCUUCAGUAGGAGUUGGCAUAGUCAUGGAUUCUCUUUACAGCACCAGAACUCUGAGCAAAACAACCUGAUUCCUCCUUUAGUUGCUCUUCGGCAGUGUGUUUCAUCACAGCAAUUACAACAACACAGUGUCAGAUCACCUGGACCCAAUGCAGCUAUAUGGGGAUGGUUUCCUGGAACUGGUCAGAGGAUAGCCCUGAGUACCAGUCCAGUACCAGUACAAGAGAAAACCUAGAAUGGUUCAGUACGGUAGUAAAGGAGUGGUGUUGAAAAUCUCAGAAACUUUCACGUGCCAGAGUGGAUGGAACAGCAAAGCAUUCUGGGAAAUGUGCACAGUCCAUGCUGCUCUGUGGGAUGCUGGAGCUGCCAUGUUGAGAAGCAUAGUGAGGAUGACCAGGGAGAAGGACACCAGCACCGGUGGAAGCUCAGGGAUGCUGAGGGCUCAGGGCUGGGGGUGGAGUUAGGAGACUGUGUUCCUGAGUCCCAGACAAUAAGGUACAGAAAAAUCCCAUCAGGAUAGACUGUCAGGAGCAGUAACAUCAAGGACAGAGGUGCACAAAGGAGUAAGGAAGGAAGGAAGGAACAGCCUGAGAUCUGACUGCAUAAGGGGUGCAUGGCUAAUAUAAUACAAAGAUCUUAAAUGCAGAUAGAUGGUUAGCCAACCCAGAUGUGACUAAACAAAGCAAAUGAAGAGGAGUCUGAAAGCUGCCUUCUCAGGGCAAAAGAAAAUAGAGAAGUCCUCAAGAACAUCAAAAUUAAACACUACAUUUUAAAAAAAACUUGUCAUUUCUGUCUCUCUGUGGCUUUGGAGUCGUGUCGGUUUGUCUCUAUAUCACAAGCCCAUCUAAGGACCUAUAGCUAUUGGUGCUUGCUGGUCCUGAUGAGGAGACCCUAGCUCAGGGGUAGAGCAUUUGGUUAGUGCUCAUGGGGAUCUGGAAGGAAAGCGAAGCCCUUUCUCAAGCAUUAGGUGAAACGCAUGCGUGCUGUGGGUGUAUAAGUAGAUUUUACCUUUUUUAAAUUUUUUUUUUAGUAUUUAAAACCAUUUUAAAAUGUAAAUAUAUUUUAAUCAUAUCAUCCCCUCCCUCAAGCUCUUCCUGAUUCUCUCCUCCCACCCGGCUACAACUUUCAGUUCUUUCUCAAAAAAGCAACCCAAAAACCAAGCAUAAAUACAAGGGCCCAAAACCUAAAAAAUAAAAUAAAAUUCAAUAUCAUCCAAAGAGAAGAAACAAAAACGAAAGAAACCACCCAACUGUAAUCAAAUAAAAGUGUGCACAGAAACACACACACACACACACACACACACACACACACACACACACACGGCUUAUUUGUUGGUCAACUAUUCCUGAACAUAAGACCUUCCCUGAAAGGCUUGGUCUUCGCAGUGUCAUUGCACUAAAGAAAACUGGUUUUUCUCUCUCCCAACAGGUAGAUCAGGGAGAGAAGGAAUUGUUGUAAAUUCUACAAUUCAGGAAAUGGUAUGAAAUCUUGCCUUAAAACAAAACAAGAACAAAGGGGUAAAACAUGUGAAAACGUGAGUGGUUGUGACUGCCUUGAUCCUGGAAGUUCCUAAAUACCAUAAAAUGCAGUAAAGGAAGUUCAAGGGCAAAGAGGUCCCAGCAUGGUUGGGGGCUUGCAAAGAGCACCAGGGGGACGCAGUCUUCAGCGCACAGUAUGAGCAGUCUCCAGCGCAAAGUCCAAGGAGCUCUGAAGCUGUCUGAGACCGCCCACAUGCAGGGUCUGGCUGGCACUGUGCCCAUCAACUUGGAGCCUAGGGACUUGGUUUAGGAUUCCUGUGGAUCACAGGGGGCCUGAGGACUGAGGGCCUCACCAGGGAUUCCCUCUGGCAUCUUCCCCUCCUCUUUUGUUCUGAUGGACAGGCCAUCCUAUAGCAACUGUUGAAGCUCCUCUGGUAGGCAGGAAAGGGAGGAACUAUUUAUUGUACAAGGCGGCCACACAGGUGACCCAGUGAUUCAUCCAGAGUGCCUCCCUCCAGCUGCGCAGAAACCCCCUCCUGCACUUGCAACUUCGGUGGCCCCUUUGAGAGAAAUAACAGGGAAGAGGAUGACACUACCCAGUGAUCCAACCACCCUACCCCACUGCCGCCGCCCCGACACCCCCUUCUGCAGUUAUAAAUUUGAAACUCACCAGCACACACAGUGGAUCUCAGAUAACUCAGAAGAACCAAAAGGCAUGGAGCUCCUGUGGAAAGGCUGGAGGCGGCAUUCUUUGCCAUACCCACCGUGGGCAUCAACUGUAACCUAAGAGUUGGGAGAAGAGGUGAGGAUUCUGUGCCACCCUGCAGAGAAUCCCACUUAACAAUUCACAAAAAUGCCAGGCACCAGGGCCUUGAACUCCAGCAAUUGUCGGGAGUCUCUGUGGUUUGCUUGUCCCUCCUUGAGGAUCGCUGAGAGGACUGGUAGGAUGUGGACACUUGAAUAAAUAGCGCUGGGCUGGCGUCUUCCUGCCUGCCCCAACCGCACUGAGCAUAGUCCUGCCUGCCCCAAUCAGCCCCUCCCCUGGAGGUGGCUCAAAGCUUUUCUGAAAGAUUGCUAUUCUUUGGGCAGUUGCUCCCGCCCACAAACGCAAAGUUCUUGCUUCCAGUAGGUGGCGCAGCAGCCUGCGCCUAGAAUGAGACUUGGGCAACCUAAGGCCAAUCCCAGUCCCAGGCAGUGUUCAGGCCCACAGUAACUUAGUCACCCCUAAACAAUUUCUGUCCUGAGUUCAUCAGUCACAGCACCAGUCGCCCCUUCAGUCUCCUGCCUAUCUUGGGUUCCCCUCUGUGGUGCUUUCAAUAUCCUUGGCCCUUGGGAAGCGCUGCUAUUAGGAACUAUGGCCUUGUUGAAGGAGGUGUGGCCUUAUUGGAGAAAGUGUGUCACUGUGGAGCUGGGCUUUGGAGAUCUCCCCCUCUGCUCAGGCUCCACCCAGCAUGAAAUGAGACCUUCCUCCUAACUGCCUGCAGAAAGGAGAUUUCUCCUGGCUGCCUCUGGAUCACAAUGUAGAACCACUGGCUUGUCCAGCCCCAUGUCUACCUGGAUUCUGCGAUGCUUCCUGCCAUGAUGAUAAUGGGCUGAACCACUGACCUUGUAAGCUGCCCCAAUUCAAUGUUUGCCUUUAUGAGAGUUGCCUUGGUCGUGGUGUCUCUUCACAGCAAUGGAAACCCUAACUAAGACACCCUCUGAUCUCCUAAAGCCAUGCUGCACUUCCCACGGGCUUCCCUCUUCCUGCAGCUGAAUCCUAAACUCAUUUGCUCCUCCAGGUCCCUUCCCCAUCACUCUGCCCUCCCCUGUCCUGUUUCUUGUCCCAAUUCUUGCCCCCUUCGCCCAGCCCCCUCCACACCCCUCCCUAGUCACUCUGCCCUUCCCCCACCUCCACCUCCUUCCUUUAACCCCACCUCCCAGUUGAAGACAGAUGCUAUCUUGUCAGCAUGGCUGUGCUUUUCCCCUUAGCUCUGUGACACUGGAAUCUAAGACCUUCAGGUAAGUCCUACAGCCAUAAAAUUAUCCCAAUCAAAAGCAGGCUCUGUGGGCCUGGAUCUGCCUCUGGGGUUAGAGCACUGACUGCUCAUCUGGAGGGAGCACACUGGAAUUCCAUCCCCUCUCUGCAGGGUUCCCUGAGCCUUAGGUAUGGCAAUUUUGAGAUCUAUCCCUUGGGGUGGGGCUCCACAACUCUGUAUAUUGAUUGGUUGUGGUUUCCUGUAGUGGGCUCUAUCGGUUUCAAAGAGAAGCAUCCUUGAUGGGGGUGAAGGGCACACUUACCUGUGGGUUUCGGGACAAAUGUGUAGGGAUGGUUGUUAGGGUUUAGGCUGGCUUUCUAAGGUGGUGGUUGUAGAUUCUCCUAGAUGAACAUGACCUCAGCACUGAUGGGUUAGCCAGGUUUCCAGUACCUUGCUGAGCAUGUCUAAGAUUCAAUGAGAGCUUUUGUCUACUACCAAGGUAUGUGUGCCAUCACUGCACAUAUAGGGCUACUGUGUCACGCUGGUCAUGGAUGUGGCCCAUAAGCCUCCAUAGCUGGGUCAGACUCUUGGUUGUCUCUCUCCUGUGGAAGCUCACAUGUAACCUCUUGGAACCAUGAAAGCUAGUCCCUCAGGAGAGGGGACUUCAGGUCAGUCCCAGCUCAGGGGCUUCUGGGCCCUGUUUGUAAAGAACACCGUGUCGUUUAUCAACAGUGACUUAUCUUCCAACUCUGGUGGCAACCAAGGGCAGAAGAAUUGGGCUAUAUGUCUUGGGAUUCUCUUACACAGCCCUAACCAACAACUCAAAAAAGGGCUUCUCUAAGCCGGGCGGUGGUGGUGCACGUCUUUAAUCCUAGCACUUGGGAGACAGAGGCAGACAGAUUCCUGAGUUAGAGGCCAACCUGGUCUACAGAGUGAGUUCCAGGACAGCCAGGACUACACAGAGAAACCCUGUCUUGAAAAAACAAAAUCAAACAAACAAAAAAAACCAAAACAAAAAACAAACAAAAAAAAGGAGGCGGGGCUUCUCUUGUCUGGAAUUGGGAUAUUGUUAGUUUCUUAGAGGGAGUGCCAUCAGCCCACAUGAAUAAAAGCUCAUUAAAGCUAUAUAUGUAGUUAUACAUGAAAUUACAUUUGUUAUAUACAGCAUGGUACUGAGCCCUGUGAGAAGGCAGCCUCUGGUUUGGGCUAUCAGAAGGUUCAUCAGACCUCAGGGAGAAACCAUAAAGUGAGCUCUUUCCCUCAGGUGAACAGGUCACAAUCGAAUAAGAUAUCCAGAAGGGAGACAUUGCUGCAGGGACUGAACAAGUCACUGUGUGUUAAGAGCUACCUAGCAGGGGGAGAUAAGCAAUCUUGUCUGACAGAGCAUCUCCUGUUCCCCAGAUGCUUGUAAAUCUUAUCUCAUCUAGAGCAAGUGACCGAGGUCAGUUCCCAGUAAGCUGCCACCUUUUCCUCAGCUACCACUUCAGAAUUCAAGGGGUGUCCUCGGUGUUCUGUAUGACCCAAGGAAUCCAUUGAGCACCUAUGGCAAGAUCAAGAUGCCUUAAACACAGGACCUCCUCCUGUCAUCGCGAGCUGACCCAGAAGUCGCAGCCAGCACAGACCCACUGCGGCCUGGGAAAGAUGCAGCUUUCACAGUACUCUUUCACGUCUGGGAUGUCUUUGGCAUCUUCAUCUGCAUACCUUCUUUUGCUGCAGGAACACUCUGCUUGGACAGAUGGCAUAUUUGGACACAUUCACAGGAUGACAUGUCAUGCAAUAUUAAAAUGAAAAGUGACUCUAUGUGCUGGUCUAAGAAGAUCUUGAAGAUAGAGAUGACAGACCACCUGGACAAUGCUUCAUGAUCGUUUUUGUUAAAGAGAAACCUUUGCAGAAGCUACGUUAUUGAUGGAAACAAUACCAGCCCAACAUAGAUGAAGUUCUUGGCUCCCCACAAGGAAAAACCCUACAGAAAUCAGGACUGUCACCCUGAAUUGGGAGGCUCCUGGCACUUUGCCCUUCUGCUUGUUGACAUCCCCUGAAGGAGGAGUUCUCAGGACACAUCAGGUGAAUUCUAGCCAUAACAUCAGGCUCCAAAGAGUUUUCUAGCUAAUAAUGUCCACUAUUGAAGACGUUUCGUUCUUGUCUAUUUGCUGGAUGCCUGGGUUAGCAGAAGCUUGUCUAAGGAGUCACUGCCUGUGUUGAAGUGGGCUCUGCAGUGAAAUAGCUGUUGGGAAGUUACCCAAGCUCCUGUAAGUAACCUCACACUGGACUCCUUAGCAACCCCGAAGGAAGCUCAGUAGAUCCUCAAGUUGAAUGUCUGCACAGUUGGUACUUCAGUCUGCCAUUAAGUUCUAUUUCUGGUGGGUGUGUACGUGUGUGCGUACGUGUGUGUGUGUGUGUGUGUGUGUGUGUGUGUGUGUGUGUGUUACAAAUCUGUUGUUCUUCAGGGAUAACUUCCCCCUUUUGUGUCUCAGGGUGCUCAGUUGGGAGUUCCCUAAUCCUUCCCUCUUCUUACACUUAGCUGCCUGGAGUCAUGGCCUCAGCCAUGGCCUUGUGGAUAUUUUCUAGCUCACAUAAACAAUCCUGAGAGAACAUUCGUGGUCGUAACAGCAAGAAAGUUUAUGGGAAAAGAGGACACUGUGACUGUUGGUUCCAGGAGCUGAAGAUUGCCACCUGACCUUCAGAGAGCCCCCAGUCUCUCCCACUCCCCACCCCCCAUCCCU